RNAcentral lists this ribosomal RNA (474 nucleotides) under uncultured microorganism. RNAcentral describes it as "bacterial SSU rRNA". It matches the Rfam family "Bacterial small subunit ribosomal RNA", at positions 9 to 524 of the family's 1533-position model. The record is from RNAcentral.
GAGUUUGAUCAUGGCUCAGAGCGAACGCUGGCGGCAGGCUUAACACAUGCAAGUCGAGCGGGCGUAGCAAUACGUCAGCGGCAGACGGGUGAGUAACACGUGGGAACGUACCUUUUGGUUCGGAACAACUGAGGGGAAACUUCAGCUAAUACCGGAUAAGCCCUAACGGGGAAAGAUUUAUCGCCGAAAGAUCGGCCCGCGUCUGAUUAGCUAGUUGGUGAGGUAAUGGCUCACCAAGGCGACGAUCAGUAGCUGGUCUGAGAGGAUGAUCAGCCACACUGGGACUGAGACACGGCCCAGACUCCUACGGGAGGCAGCAGUGGGGAAUAUUGGACAAUGGGGGCAACCCUGAUCCAGCCAUGCCGCGUGAGUGAUGAAGGCCCUAGGGUUGUAAAGCUCUUUGUGCGGGAAGAUAAUGACGGUACCGCAAGAAUAAGCCCCGACUAACUUCGUGCCAGCAGCAGCCGCCGUAAC